Molecule: transfer RNA, 92 nt
Filed under: Clostridia bacterium
Lineage: Bacteria; Bacillati; Bacillota; Clostridia
Description: tRNA-Ser
Rfam family: tRNA
About the family: Transfer RNA (tRNA) molecules are approximately 80 nucleotides in length. Their secondary structure includes four short double-helical elements and three loops (D, anti-codon, and T loops). Further hydrogen bonds mediate the characteristic L-shaped molecular structure. tRNAs have two regions of fundamental functional importance: the anti-codon, which is responsible for specific mRNA codon recognition, and the 3' end, to which the tRNAs corresponding amino acid is attached (by aminoacyl-tRNA synthetases). tRNAs cope with the degeneracy of the genetic code in two manners: having more than one tRNA (with a specific anti-codon) for a particular amino acid; and 'wobble' base-pairing, i.e. permitting non-standard base-pairing at the 3rd anti-codon position.
Source: RNAcentral
GGAGAUGUACUCAAGUGGCCGAAGAGGCGCCCCUGCUAAGGGUGUAGGUCGGGAUAACCGGCGCGGUGGUUCAAAUCCACUCAUCUCCGCCA